This 482-nucleotide ribosomal RNA is filed under the name uncultured bacterium. RNAcentral's name for it is "partial 16S ribosomal RNA". It matches the Rfam family "Bacterial small subunit ribosomal RNA", at positions 28 to 523 of the family's 1533-position model. The record is from RNAcentral.
GACGAACGCUGGCGGCGUGCUUAACACAUGCAAGUCGAACGAUGAAACCUAGCUUGCUAGGUCGAUUAGUGGCGAACGGGUGAGUAACACGUGACUAACCUGCCCCUUUCUCUGGGAUAACGCUCCGAAAGGAGUGCUAAUACCGGAUACUCACACCGAGGCACAUGCCUUGGUGUGGAAAGUUUUUCGGAAAGGGAUGGAGUCGCGGCCUAUCAGCUUGUUGGUGAGGUAACGGCUCACCAAGGCGACGACGGGUAGCCGGCCUGCGAGGGCGACCGGCCACACUGGGACUGAGUCACGGCCCAGUCUCCUACGGGAGGCAGCAGUGGGGAAUAUUGCACAAUGGGCGCAAGCCUGAUGCAGCGACGCCGCGUGAGGGAUGAAGGUCUUCGGAUUGUAAACCUCUUUCAGUAGGGACGAAGCGAAAGUGACGGUACCUAAAGAAGAAGCACCGGCUAACUACGUGCCAGCCGCCGCCGUAA